This 497-nucleotide ribosomal RNA is filed under the name uncultured bacterium. RNAcentral describes it as "partial 16S ribosomal RNA". It matches the Rfam family "Bacterial small subunit ribosomal RNA", at positions 28 to 507 of the family's 1533-position model. The record is from RNAcentral.
GAUGAACGCUGGCGGCGUGCCUAAUACAUGCAAGUCGAGCGAACAGACUAGGAGCUUGCUCCUCUGACGUUAGCGGCGGACGGGUGAGUAACACGUGGAUAACCUACCUAUAAGACUGGGAUAACUUCGGGAAACCGGAGCUAAUACCGGAUAAUAUAUUGAACCGCAUGGUUCAAUAGUGAAAGACGGUUUUGCUGUCACUUAUAGAUGGAUCCGCGCCGCAUUAGCUAGUUGGUAAGGUAACGGCUUACCAAGGCAACGAUGCGUAGCCGACCUGAGAGGGUGAUCGGCCACACUGGAACUGAGACACGGUCCAGACUCCUACGGGAGGCAGCAGUAGGGAAUCUUCCGCAAUGGGCGAAAGCCUGACGGAGCAAAGCCGCGUGAGUGAUGAAGGUCUUCGGAUCGUAAAACUCUGUUAUUAGGGAAGAACAAAUGUGUAAGUAACUAUGCACGUCUUGACGGUACCUAAUCAGAAAGCCACGGCUAACUACGUG